AACUUCUGAAUGUUGACCUCGGAUCAGGUAGGAAUACCCGCUGAACUUAAGCAUAUCAAUAAGCGGAGGAAAAGAAACCAACAGGGAUUGCCCUAGUAACGGCGAGUGAAGCGGCAACAGCUCAAAUUUGAAAUCUGGCUUUCGGGCCCGAGUUGUAAUUUGUAGAGGAUGAUUUUGAUGCGGUGCCUUCCGAGUUCCCUGGAACGGGACGCCAUAGAGGGUGAGAGCCCCGUCUGGUUGGAUGCCAAAUCUCUGUAAAUCUCCUUCGACGAGUCGAGUAGUUUGGGAAUGCUGCUCUAAAUGGGAGGUAUAUGUCUUCUAAAGCUAAAUACCGGCCAGAGACCGAUAGCGCACAAGUAGAGUGAUCGAAAGAUGAAAAGCACUUUGAAAAGAGAGUUAAAAAGUACGUGAAAUUGUUGAAAGGGAAGCGUUUAUGACCAGACUUGGGCUUGGUUAAUCAUCUGGGGUUCUCUCCAGUGCACUUUUCCAGCCCAGGCCAGCAUCAGUUUUCGCCGGGGGAUAAAGACUUCGGGAAUGUGGCUCCCCUCGGGGAGUGUUAUAGCCCGUUGUGUAAUACCCUGGCGGGGACUGAGGUUCGCGCUUCUGCAAGGAUGCUGGCGUAAUGGUCAUCAACGACCCGUCU
This 643-nucleotide ribosomal RNA is filed under the name Fusarium pseudograminearum. Its description in RNAcentral is "eukaryotic LSU rRNA". It matches the Rfam family "Eukaryotic large subunit ribosomal RNA", at positions 1 to 654 of the family's 3401-position model. The record is from RNAcentral. Lineage: Eukaryota; Fungi; Ascomycota; Sordariomycetes; Hypocreales; Nectriaceae.